RNAcentral lists this ribosomal RNA (483 nucleotides) under uncultured bacterium. RNAcentral's name for it is "partial 16S ribosomal RNA". It matches the Rfam family "Bacterial small subunit ribosomal RNA", at positions 30 to 507 of the family's 1533-position model. The record is from RNAcentral.
UUGAACGCUGGCGGAAUGCUUUACACAUGCAAGUCGAACGGCAGCACGGGGGCAGCCCUGGUGGCGAGUGGCGAGCGGGUGAGUAAUACAUCGGAACGUGCCCGGUCGUGGGGGAUAACGUAGCGAAAGUUACGCUAAUACCGCAUACGAUCUGAGGAUGAAAGCGGGGGACCUUCGGGCCUCGCGCGAUCGGAGCGGCCGAUGUCAGAUUAGGUAGUUGGUGGGGUAAAGGCCUACCAAGCCGACGAUCUGUAGCUGGUCUGAGAGGACGACCAGCCACACUGGGACUGAGACACGGCCCAGACUCCUACGGGAGGCAGCAGUGGGGAAUUUUGGACAAUGGGCGCAAGCCUGAUCCAGCCAUUCCGCGUGCAGGACGAAGGCCUUCGGGUUGUAAACUGCUUUUGUACGGAACGAAAAGGCUCUGGCUAAUACCUGGGGCUCAUGACGGUACCGUAAGAAUAAGCACCGGCUAACUACGUG